GACUAACUACGAUAAGCUUUGGUGAGCGGUAAGUACGCUAUGACCCAAAGAUUUCCGAAUGGGGAAACCCAACUCGUAAGAGUUGUCUGUAUCUGAAUACAUAGGAUAUUUGACGGAAUACGCUGUGAACUGAAACAUCUCAUUAGCAGCAGGAGCAGAAAGAAAAAUCGAUUCCCUAAGUAGCGGCGAGCGAACGGGGAAGAGCCCAAACCAACGUGCUUGCAUGUUGGGGUUGUAGGACUGAUAUAUAAGAGUUACAAAAGUGUUUUAUAGCAGAACAAGUUGGGAAACUUGGCUAUAGAGGGUGAUAGCCCCGUAAGCGAAAUGAAGCACACUCUUUUCAGGAUCCUGAGUACGGCCGGACACGUGAAAUCCGGUCGGAAUCUGCGGGGACCAUCCCGUAAGGCUAAAUACUCCCUAGUGACCGAUAGUGAACCAGUACCGUGAGGGAAAGGUGAAAAGCACCCCGGAAGGGGAGUGAAAUAGUUCCUGAAACCACGACGCCUAAAAGAAGGCAGAGCCCGUUAAUGGGUAGCGGCGAAAUUCCAAACGAACUUGGAGAUAGCUGGUUCUCUCCGAAAUAGCUUUAGGGCUAGCCUCAUUAUAAGCAUACUGGAGGUAGAGCACUGUUAAGCCUAGGGGCCCAUCUCGGGUUACCAAAGUUUGAUAAACUCCGAAUGCCAGAUAUGUAUGAAUGGGAGUCAGACGAUGAGUGAUAAGAUCCACCGUCGAAAGGGGAACAGCCCAGAUCGCCAGUUAAGGUCCCUAAAUAUAUGUUAAGUGGAAAACGAUGUGAUAGUGCAUAGACAACUAGGAUGUUGGCUUAGAAGCAGCCACCAUUUAAAGAGUGCGUAAUAGCUCACUAGUCGAGUGCCAUUGCGCGGAAAAUGUACCGGGGCUAAACAUAUUACCGAAACUGCGGGUGCACGUAAGUGCGCGAUAGGAGAGCGUUGUAAGGGCGACGAAGGUAGAUCGUAAGGACUGCUGGAGCGCUUACAAGUGAGAAUGCCGGUAUGAGUAGCGAAAGACAGGUGAGAAUCCUGUCCACCGAAUGACUAAGGUUUCCUGGGGAAGGCUCGUCCACCCAGGGUUAGUCGGGACCUAAGGCGAGGCUGAGAAGCGUAGUCGAUGGAUAACAGGUUGAGAUUCCUGUACCAGUUGUAAUGCGUUAUUACCGAUGGAGGGACGCAGGAGGCUACCAGAUGCGCACUGAUGGAUAUGUGCGUGCAAGCAGUAAGUCUUGAAAAGAGUGAAAUGCUUUUUUCUAUAAGGACAAGCUGUGAUGCGGAUCGAAAUAAAGUAGAGAAGUCUGAGACGUCACACUGCCGAGAAAAGCUUCUAGGAAGUAUUACACUGCCCGUACCGCAAACCGACACAGGUAGUCGAGUGGAGAACACUAAGGUGAGCGAGAGAACCCUCGUUAAGGAACUCGGCAAAAUGACCCCGUAACUUCGGGAGAAGGGGUGCUCAUGGUAAAACAUGAGCCGCAGUGAAUAGGCCCAGGCGACUGUUUAUCAAAAACACAGGUUUCUGCAAAAUCGUAAGAUGAAGUAUAGGGGCUGACGCCUGCCCGGUGCUGGAAGGUUAAAAGGAGUGCUUAGUUUCGGCGAAGGUACGAAUUGAAGCCCCAGUAAACGGCGGCCGUAACUAUAACGGUCCUAAGGUAGCGAAAUUCCUUGUCGGGUAAGUUCCGACCCGCACGAAAGGCGUAACGAUCUGGGCACUGUCUCAACGAGGGACUCGGUGAAAUUUAAAUACCCGUGAAGAUGCGGGUUACCCGCGACAGGACGGAAAGACCCCAUGGAGCUUUACUGUAGCUUGAUAUUGAAUGUUUGUGCUGCUUGUACAGAAUAGGUAGGAGACGUAGAAGAUUGGACGCUAGUCUAGUCGGAGUCGCACGGUGGGAUACUACCCUCGUUGUAUGAACAUUCUAACACUGGUCACUCAACGUGAUCGUGGACAGUGUCUGGCGGGCAGUUUGACUGGGGCGGUCGCCUCCUAAAAGGUAACGGAGGCG
RNAcentral lists this ribosomal RNA (2017 nucleotides) under Leuconostoc mesenteroides subsp. mesenteroides. RNAcentral describes it as "bacterial LSU rRNA". It matches the Rfam family "Bacterial large subunit ribosomal RNA", at positions 60 to 2308 of the family's 2925-position model. Lineage: Bacteria; Bacillati; Bacillota; Bacilli; Lactobacillales; Lactobacillaceae. The record is from RNAcentral.